AGUAGUCUGAAGGAUCGAGAGAUGAAGGACGAGGCGUAGGAUAGGAUUUUAGUGAAGGGAGCAACAUUAUUGCGGGAGGAUAAUAAACCACAAGGGAUAUAGAAGAAUAUCCUGGUUCUCGAAACGGCAGUAGAGAAGAUAGUGUCUGCAAGCACAGCAGGGGCGUCGUGAACGAAAGGGAUUAAUUAAUAUUAAUUCUGGAUCGGCUCGCUGUAAUUCCCAGUACACAGGGCGCAGAUGGGCCUUGAAAGAGGAAAUGUGUACCU
This 266-nucleotide small RNA is filed under the name uncultured Eubacterium sp. Its description in RNAcentral is "Clostridiales-3 RNA". It matches the Rfam family "Clostridiales-3 RNA". Lineage: Bacteria; Bacillati; Bacillota; Clostridia; Eubacteriales; Eubacteriaceae. The record is from RNAcentral.